This 181-nucleotide long non-coding RNA is filed under the name Coturnix japonica (Japanese quail). RNAcentral describes it as "lncRNA (ENSCJPG00005002908.1)". Lineage: Eukaryota; Metazoa; Chordata; Aves; Galliformes; Phasianidae. The record is from RNAcentral.
GGGUUGCUGCAUCCUUAGGCGAGGUUCUGCCAUCCGUGGGGCUGGACUCGGGCGUGAUGAUCCCAUAUGAGCUGACCCCAUAGGAGCUGCUGACCCCAUAGGAGCUGACCCCAUAGGAGCUGGCAUCCUUUGUGCAGGCUGUGCCAUCCGUGGGGCUGGACUGGGGUGUGCUGACCCCACA